Molecule: ribosomal RNA, 255 nt
Filed under: uncultured bacterium
Lineage: Bacteria
Description: partial 16S ribosomal RNA
Rfam family: Bacterial small subunit ribosomal RNA
Source: RNAcentral
AACGAACGCUGGCGGCAGGCCUAACACAUGCAAGUCGAACGCCCUGGCAACAGGGAGUGGCAGACGGGUGAGUAACGCGUGGGAACGUGCCUUUCGGUUCGGAAUAACCCACGGGAAACUUGGAUUAAUACCGGAUACGUGCGAGAGCAGAAAGAUUUAUCGCCGAAAGAUCGGCCCGCGUCCGAUUAGCUAGUUGGUGAGGUAAAGGCUCACCAAGGCGACGAUCGGUAGCUGGUCUGAGAGGAUGAUCAGCCA